GCUGUCAGUCAAUAAAUGUGAAAAAGUAACUUGUUACUUAUUUGAAAAAGUAACUUAGAUAUUUUGUUGUAAAUUGAAAAGCAAUGCAUUACUUUAGUAGUUACUUGAAAAGUAAUCUGAUUGCGUAACUCAGUUUACUAGUAAUGUGUUACCCCCUUAUAACACAGGACUUAUAAACAACUUAUUUUUUAGUUCAGUGUAACCUAUUGAUGUCAGACAAAACAGCUUCAAAAGGAUCCUCCUUUGUUUAUCAUUCAAUUACUUUUUUAUUUGCUGUUUUGAUCAUUUCAGAACUAGUGCAUCCACUACUAUUUCCAUGAGUUUUAUUUAUUUUAUUUUUUUUGGACUAAACUGUAACUUUCUACUUCAUACCAUAAAGAUUGUGUACUCAGUCUUGUUGUUCAACCUAUUAGUAUGUCUCUGUGGGCCUAGCAUGGCUUUAACGGUUGCAAGAGGUGUGGAAUGUGUGCUAGUUUAUGCAUUUCAGCCUGAGGCUCUUCAUGGUGGUUUGUGUCGCCCUGGAAAUGACAUCAGCAGUGUGCUGGAGUCCGCCUGUGGUACUGAAACCCCUCAUGACCCUAUUCCACACACCCACUAAUACUGCCUGGGCAUACCAGGAGCCCUUAUUAGAUUAUGUUGCCAUUACUUUAGCACAGGUUGUGGAAAUGGAGCAGAGGAAAGCAGCAAGCCUCACCAUAUUAUGGACCGUUUUAAUGAAUGAGAGUGCCUCAACUUCACUGGAUGUAAUGAAACCUAUCUCCCACUAGCAUUUACUAGCAUUUACCCUAUGUUACCCCGUUUUUUUUUUUUUUAAACUAAUGCUACCCUUAUGAUUGCUGGGAAUUCUGGGUAAAUGGGGUAUAUGAAAAUGUGCCUUCAUAGAGCUUGAUUUGAUAUUGCAGAAUGAUGUAAGCCUGAUAGACUAGCUUCUUUUAAAAGUCUGCACCAGCUCUACACACAAAUGGUUCAUGCAAAUGAUUUCAAAGGAAAGAACAUUUGGUUCAGCUCUGUGAAAUAUGAUUUGUGCCCUGUAUAUGUGUGCGCGUGUGUGUGCGUUUAAGACCCGUCUAUUUCUGUCAUCAAUCCACUAUCAGUGGUGUUUAUUUUUUUGUCAUCUUCGUCUCAUAAUCACUGAAGUGUUUAGGGCUUCUGGUAACUUGUCAGCUGCUUUGUAACUUUUCAACUAGUGGUGCCAGUUGUCACCAAAAUCCACAUCAUAAAGAACACAGUGUGAUGAGCCCUGGUUCAGAUGUGAACCAAGAAUCAUAUUUAUAAAUAUUUCAGCUAAAAUUGCUCGUUUCCUCCAGGUCACAGUACAUUGAUCUCCUUCAGAAGAACCUAACUAAAUUGACCUUACUAAAUUACAUUUAGUAGAUCUAGACAAUAUUGAAUAUCUGUGAUUAAUGAGGCACAAAAAGGAAAAUCUUUACAGAAAUGUAAAAUUCUGGACACACACAAUCAUAAAAUGGACAAUUGGCUAAUAGAAGCACAUAUUGCACCCUAUAACAAAAUGCACAACAAAGGACAAAAUGCAUAGUUUUAUUUUCUGAAUUAGUUCAGGGCCAGGGGUUAGUAAUAGAAGUUCAACAAUGUGCCUAGUCAGAUUGAGACAGUUUCUCUUCUGAUGUAUUUUGAGAUUUUGUGCAAAAUAGUCUCUAAACAUCUGCACAUCUUAAUCUUCCUUGUGUUUCAGUGUGAAAUCAUGCCUUGAUUAUUAUGAUUAACUACAUUGUUACUUUUUAUUACGUACAUUAAAUAAUUUAGAAUUAGGGAUGCACGAUUAUGACAAAUCAUAAUUGUUGAUUAUUCCCUUGAAAUUGAAAUUGCGAUUAUUAAUGGCGAUUAUCACAAUUUACAUUGGAUAAUGUUUUGAAUGGCUUAUAUCAUUGAUUGAAGCAACUGCAUGCCAUAUUUUUAGAUGAAAAUAAACAAGCUGAAAACACUCUUCCUGAAAAAUGGUUAUUGCUUAUCUAUAGCAUUAAGCCUCAAAUGUCAACUAUACAUUGGUUUGGUUUCUUCUAAAAUAUGUAUGGUAUUAUAAUGUUACACUAAAGCUAAAACAAUUGAAAAACCCUUAAGAUAACCCGUAGAAAGAAAAAACAACACACAUCUUAAGCAUGCAGAAUAAUGUAAGUGGACUUUUUUUGUGUGUGCCUUUUGAAUGAUUAUGUAAUUGUGACAUCUGUAACUGUAAUCACAAUUAGAAAUUUGAUUAAUUGUGCAGCCCUACAAUGGCUGUUUUAUUUGAUUUGAAAAAUCACCUUUUUAGCCAUUUCAUAGCAAAGACAUAUUAGAAAAAUAUGUCAGUGCAUGACAAUUUUAAGGUUUAAGGUUAACAUUCCUUGAAGGCUUUAGGCAAACAUAUUUCUUUCAUAAAGCCAGGCUAGGCUAAAACAGCCAGAGUGAGUGGUUUCUGGCUGUAGGUUAAUUCAUGCUAGGACAUGUUUGUUAGUGUGCAGUUACAUUCCAUUUCAGCACACACAUAAAGAAAUCAUGUCACUGUUAAUUAUGAUCUGUUUUAAUUACAUAAUCUUUUAAUUAUAUGCAUAUGUAUUCUAUAUUUUUUAUGUAGAGUGCGUGUGGUUUUUAAGUUGAGUUUGUGAAGGGACAUUUCAUGAUAAUGGUAUAAAUCACAGCAUAUUUAUAUUUAUAUAACUAACAUAAGUAAACUCAAGCUUACUGAAGACUAUUAAAAAGUCAGUGGUAAAAUAAGAACAAAGAAACUAAUUAGAAGCAAUAGGUCAAAAAAACUAUGUUGCGCUCUAUCCAGCUGGCCACUAUGUCAUAUUCAAUCAUGUCAUUUUCACUCUAUAUGUAAAAUGAAUGUUUCCUUGUCUUUAUAUGAAAAAAAAAAAUAUAUAUAUAUGAUUCCCAGUGUGCACAAACUUACCAGAUUACUGAGUGCCUUGUUGGCUACAGUGUUUACUUCCUUUUUAUUCAUAUAUUUUCUUUAUUUUUGAAAAUACUGUAAUAUGAUUACAUAAUUAAGAAGUUGCAUCUGAAGUAUGUAUAUUUUUUUUAAUUUAAUUUAUUUUCAAAAGAUUUCUUAUUAAAUAUUAACUAAAAUAAAUAUAAAUUAUUAUAUAAGCUAUAUAUAUGCCAUCAGCCCUGCUCUCUAAGAAAUGUUGACCACUAUUAUAAUUAUUGAAUAAUUAAAUUGUAUAAAGUAAUCAAAUGUACAACCACUGCAUAGUCUACACUGUGUAAAUUAAAUAUAAAUUUAUUAUCACUAAAGUUACAAAAGUAAUUCAGUCAUGAGCAGUGAGAAAUUUUUAUCUCUGGUAUAUUCUGCUGUCACUUUAAGACCGAAUGCACAGAUCUAAUAUACUGAUACAUGUGUUUUCUUUCUCAACUGUUUAUGUUGACACAAGACAUAACCUAAUGUGUUUAAUGGGGAUUUUGACACACAAGUGUGUGUAUUUGACCUUUUAAAGGAUUUGUUCACUUUCAAAUAAAAUUUUCCUGAUAAUUUAAUCACCCCCAUGUCAUCCAAGAUGUCCAUGUCCUUCUUUCUUCAGUCAAAAAGAAAUUAAGAUUUUUGAUGAAAAUGUUCCAGGAUUAUUCUCCUUAUAGUGGACUUCAAUGGCCUCCAGAAUACUGUAAAUUUUCAGGAAAAUUUUAUUUGAAAGUGAACUUAUCCUUUAAGCCCAAUAAACUCGUCUCAGGACUCACGCUUUGUCUGAGCAGCCACUUUAUGUGUGCGCGCUUCAGGUGUGUGUGCUCAGAAACCAUCUCUCAGACAGCCUGUGCAUAUAUCGCUGCUUAUUGCGCUUGAACUGCAAGGCUUAAAAAUGUAUUCAAAUGAUAAGAUUUCAUGACAGUGCAGUACGGUAACAUCACUUGAGCAUAACCCAGUAGAGACGGUAAUCCAAAAUCUCUACCGGUUGACAAAUUUAAUAUAUUUAUCACAUCUACUGGUAUAUCGCCAACUACUAUUUGUAAAUUCUAGAGAAUGUUGUCUUGAGCAAAUUAUUAUUUGCAUGUAAUAAGCUUUUUGACGGUGGCACUGAUGAUUAUUGUUGUUACUGAAUGUAUGAUCUCUUCGUGUGUGAGGUGUGUGUUUAACAUGUGUUCGUUUCAGCUGAAGGUUGUCAUGGCAGCUGUAGUGGGGGGAGGGGUGAACAGCUCAUUCACAUCUAGACAGACAGCAGAAAAUUUACCUGAGGAUCAGUGCAGGAAAAAAUAUGCUGUUAAAGUAACUCGCAUUGGACCAUGAAUUGCUUCAGCCAUGCACAGUAAAAAGUUGCAUGCAGUCAUGCUACUAGUGCUUUAAUUAUGAUUAAAUCCAGAUUUAUACUGCCAGUGUGAAUUAGGCAUGCACAAUAUUGUAUUUUUUGCCAAUAUCCGAUAUGCCGAAUUUUUUUUUUUUUAUAUAUAUAUAUUUUUUUAAAUCUUUUGGCUGAUAGCCAGUGUUGAUACCAAUAUACAUAUCUUUUCUCCUUUGUUUGGAAACGAUGCUCUCCUGUGCAGGAGCUCUCCUGUGUAAAUGAUUUAUUUUUCAUUCCAGUUAGUAUUGAGCAUAAACUAUUUUUUUUUUUCAUUCUGGUUUUAAGGUUCUGCAGGUCUUACCAAAAGGUUACUUGUAAGAGCUAAAUAAAUGUUCAUAAAGUUCUUUUUUUAUAAUAAGAGUGCAUUGAAAGCUUUACAGAUGCAGAUGACAGAUUCAGUUGUAACAUAAACAUUUUAUUUGUGAAUUAAUAUUUGUAGAUGGUUUACAGCAUACUGGUAUCGGUAGCAGGCCAGAUACUAAGCUCAUGUACUUAAACUUGUAAAAAUACUCCGAUACCGAAAACUAAUACAGUAUUAGUAAUUGAUAUUCAUAUCGGUGAUUGAACAGUAAACUGAUACCAAUGAUGUAACUGACAAGAAUGUUCACACCAGCAGCAGGGGAAAAAAUGUCAGCUUCACGAUGUGUAAAUAUUUAAAAAAUGAAUGAUGACAACCCAAGCAUGGUAGACUAUAAACUUUGUUCUGCAAAAAUAUCAAGAAGAGGUACAAAAAUUAGUACUCAAAAUACACGUAAUCUGAUAAAACAAUAAAACACAAAAUGAGCACGGACAAUUUGCCGCUAGCAGUAGCACUCAGCUACCAAAACUGCAGCAAACCCUAGCAAAACAAGAGACAUUGUCAAGAGAUAUCACGAGUGCUAUAAAAUAACUGAGGUGCUUACUCAAUUCAUUAUUCUUGACAAUCAACCACUGUCAGUUGUUGAUAACGUGGGUUUUUGCCACCUUCUUAAUGUUUUGGAGCUGAAGAUUCCCAGUCACUCACUGCUAUGUCAGAGUGUAGGACCAGCACUGUCCAUGCAAAGCGGUUUUGGGGGCUCGCACAUGGGUCGAGCCAUAGCGAGCAUAUUUUUGGAGAAAAUGCUUGAAACUUGGGUAAUUCCCAAAAGUUCUGUCCAUCCUGUGGUCAAUGACAAUGGCAAAAAAACAUAAUAAAGGGCAUGUAGGAUGCUAGAGUUCCUAGUCUUUCGUGUGUUGCGCAUACACUGCAGCUGGCUAUCUCAGUGUCUGCUAUCACAGCACAGCAUUGUGGAGGCUCUGGGAGUCGAGCACAAAAUAGUCACCACUUUAAACAUUCCAACCUGACAUACUCUCAGUUACAGAGUAUUCAGAUACUGUUUGGUCUCUGAUUGAGCAGAAACGGGCCAUUGGAAUAUAUAUAUGUCUGAAAAUCAGCUCCCUGCCACUCUAACUGUAAACCAGUAGAAUCUUAUGGAGAUAAUGCAAAUUAUCUUGGAUCCCUUUGAAGAAAUGACUCGUCGAGUGAGUUCUUCAGAUGCUUCAGUCUCAGAUGUAUUUCCUGCUGUCAAUGUGCUAUAUAGACCGUUAUUGAAACAAAUGGAUGGGGACCAUGGGAACAGAACGAUGAAGAGUACUUUGCUUGCUGCUUUGUAGAAGCGUUACUGCAUCACAACUUUACUCGAUCCAAGGCACUGCCAGGGAGGUCAAAGAAAUGUUGAUGCUGGAGCUGCAAAAAAUACCUGUUGGAGUGACAGCCACACCUGAGGAGCUUGGGGAACCAGCUGUCAAAAUGUCUCUCAGUGACCAGACAGGUACCAGUCUGGGCAGUGUUUUUGAAGAAAUUGCAGAUUCUACAUCUGAGAGCAGUGCUCCAACAGCUGCUACCACACAGCUGGAAGCAUACCUUGGAGAGACCACUGUGCGUCGUUCAGACAAACCCUUCAAGUAUUGGGCAGUAAUCUGCGAUUUUAAGCUCUGGCUCAAAUGACUCAAACAUAUCUUUCAGCCCCAUGCAGUAUUGUGGAAAGUAAAAGAUUGUCCAGCUCAGAGUGACAUUCUGAAUGAAAUCAGAACAUGCUUCUGUUCCUUAAAGGGUUAGUCCAAAAAUGAAAAUUAUGUCAUUAAUUACUCACCCUCAUGUCUUUCCAAACCUGUAAGACUUUUGUUCAUCUUUGGAAUGCAAAUGAAGAUCUUUUUGAUGAAAUCUGAGAGAUUUCUGUUCCUCCAUAGACAGUCUACGCAAUUGAAACUUUGCCGCUUCAAAAAGUUCAUAAAGAGAUCGGAAAACUAAUCCAUAUUAAUUGAGUGGUUUAGUCCAAAUUUUCUGAAGAGACUCGAUCGCUUUUAUGAUGAACAGGUUUAAUUUAGGCUUUUAUCCACAUAUAAACAUUGAUCUGCGAAUAAAAACAGAAGCUCAAUGGAAACUGAAUGACUCGUGAGAACAAACCUUUUACGGAAGCUCAAGUGUGCUGCGUAAGACUUUUAUACUUUUCAUUCUCACAAAAUUAUUAGAAACAUACUAUACAACAGCUCUGAGGAACAUCAGAGCUGUUAAAGUGUACAAUUAAAGUGACGCUCCACUUGAUUAAACACUAGUCAUAUUUCAAUUUAUUACACUCUUGGUUGUUAUUGUUACACAAUGUUGUGUUAUAAACAUUUGUGCUAUUAAAUUUGAUUGAGAACUUUGUGACAGAGAAAAAAAAAAAAAUUAAAUGUUUUUUUUUAAUGCCCUUGGUUUGGUAGUGGAGGUUAUUUGACACUGUGAAAUUUGUUUGUGCUUUGACAAGAAUAUAAAAUUGACUUUUAAGUCUUUUGAGUUACAGUUGCUCAUAAUCAUAAAGAAAUGUCCUGAAAUCAUUAGUCUCACUGCAUUGUAUUUACAGGUAUCGGUUUUGGCAAGUAGCAGAAAGAAAAUCGGUGCUCAUACUCUGUCUUUGUCGGUGCAUCCCCAACAAAAAGACUCUUUGUUGUUGAUGUUGCCCUUAGUCAUCUGUGUUUAUCACGUCUUUGCUGUUUUGGUUUGUUUUCGCUGAUAUGUAGGAAGUAGGAACACAGGAGUCCCUUGCACACAGCACACAGUGAUUUUCUGUUUUGCUCCAAACAGUCUGCAAAAGUAUGCUUUUAUGCAUGUAUGCUUUUAUUUUUCUGUGGAACACAAUGAAAUGUUUGAAAAAAAUCUUUUUCAUUUUUUCAUCUCUUUUUCAUAACUUUUUGGGCUUUUCGGAUGUGGACAUAUGCACUGCAAUUAUAAUGAAAAGAGCUUUGUCUUUUAAGAUGAGUUGGGACAGAAAAGUUAGGAAGAAAGUGUUACAGUAUGUGUUAUAGCUCCUGAAACAGACAUAGAGAGUGAAUGAAUCAGAUCUCAGUCAGAAACUCCACAGCUGAAGGUUAGUCUACUACAAAUGGACAGGGAAUGUGACAGACGCCAGCCCAACGAAUCAAGGCCGUGAUGCCUCAAAAGAGUCUUUUAAAACCUGAAGUAAAACAGAAUUUUUUUAGCCCUGCCAACUAAUUCCUUUGUGAGUGAGUGAGUAUGUGUAUGUAAAUCAGCAGAGAGCUGUUUGGAACUCAUGCCAAGCCACUACUGGUGUGGCAGCAGAAGAGAGGGUGGGCAGCUUUGUGCUCUGCAGUUUGUCCAAAUUAGCAAGAGUCAGCAAUUUAUAAUGGUAAAAGGGCAGUCAGACAUCAAGUUUUAAAAGCACAUGCUGGGAAGAUACAAACCUAUGCUUGUUUGAGUGCCCAUUAGAACCCAUAUUCAACAUAAAAAAAAAAAAAAAAAACUUUUCUCUUUGCUUAGUUCCUGCAGAGGUCCAGUUGAUUUCUUUUCUGUUGUUCAUAAACAAACAUUGCCUUUGUGUUCUGUUGAGUGUGGUAAAUUGUGCUAUUCAGCCAAGCUCCUGUUCCCAAAGCAGU
This is a long non-coding RNA of Megalobrama amblycephala (Wuchang bream), 8159 nucleotides long. RefSeq lists it as uncharacterized. The record is from RefSeq and is a predicted model, not a curated record. The transcript has 2 exons. Lineage: Eukaryota; Metazoa; Chordata; Actinopteri; Cypriniformes; Xenocyprididae.